CAAUAGCGUAUAUUAAAGUUGUUGCAGUUAAAAAGCUCGUAGUUGAAUUUUUGCUUGCCGCCGAUGUCGGAACUUCCGUACGUUCGGCGGCGUGCAUCCUUGGGUGGAACCUGUGUGGCAUUAGGUUGUCGUGCAGGGGAUGCUCAUCGUUUACUGUGAAAAAAUUAGAGUGUUCAAAGCAGGCUUAUGCCGUUGAAUAUAUUAGCAUGGAAUAAUAAGAUAGGACCUUGGUACUAUUUUGUUGGUUUGCGCACCGAGGUAAUGAUUAACAGGGACAGUUGGGGGUAUUCGUAUUCCAUUGUCAGAGGUGAAAUUCUUGGAUUUCUGGAAGACGAACUACUGCGAAAGCAUUUACCAAGGAUGUUUUCAUUAG
This 373-nucleotide ribosomal RNA is filed under the name uncultured eukaryote. RNAcentral's name for it is "partial 18S ribosomal RNA". It matches the Rfam family "Eukaryotic small subunit ribosomal RNA", at positions 592 to 976 of the family's 1831-position model. The record is from RNAcentral.